CCUACGGGGGGCAGCAGUGAGGAAUAUUGGUCAAUGGGCGCGAGCCUGAACCAGCCAAGUAGCGUGAAGGAUGACUGCCCUAUGGGUUGUACACUUCUUUUAUCAAGGAAUAAAGUGCGGCACGUGUGCCUUUUUGUAUGUACUUUAUGAAUAAGGAUCGGCUAACUCCGUGCCAGCAGACGCGGUAAUACGGAGGAUCCGAGCGUUAUCCGGAUUUAUUGGGUGUAAAGGGAGCUUAGAUGGGUUGUUAAGUCAGUUGUGAAAAUUUGCGUCUAAACCGUAAAAUUGCAUUUGAUACUGGCAUGCUUGAGUACAGUUGAGGUAGGCGGAAUGCGUGGUGUAGCGGUGAAAUGCUUAGAUAUCACGAAGAACUCCGAUUGCGAAGGCAGCUUACUAAACUGCCACUGACAUUGAUGCUCGAAAGUGUGGGUAUCAAACAGGAUUAGAUACCCGAGUAGUC
Molecule: ribosomal RNA, 460 nt
Filed under: uncultured bacterium
Lineage: Bacteria
Description: partial 16S ribosomal RNA
Rfam family: Bacterial small subunit ribosomal RNA
Source: RNAcentral